AUGGAGAAUCUAACUAAGAUUUUUUUUAACGCAUCUGCCUGUGAGAACCAUCGAGUCCAGUUGGAUAGUGAUCCCUUGUUUCACACGCGAGCUACAUAUCAUAAUUCUGGCAGAGGAACAGGUCCUGUGUCGGAAAGAAUGUCAAGGAAUCUGAGGUUACCAAUUGGGAUAGCAAGGCCUGAAGUGAAGGGUGAGAUGGGUAGUGUGUUCCCUGGGAGAGCCGGCCUAGUACAUGAAAUUCCAACUGCACAAAAUGUAUUGCAAUUCUAUGACAAGAUGGUUCAUAGUAUGAGGAGUGAUCGCGACAAGUGGGCAUUGGAAAUGGUUCAAGCACGUAUGACCUUGGUCCUACUCAAUGGGGAUGAUUUCAUACAUGAGUUUGGUCCUGAUGGAGAAUUGACAACAAUUGGCUGGGCAGCCUUCUCACGUAUGCUGACUAGUAAAGAUGCACGAAUGUACGACGAAUGGAAGAUAAGGUGGAGGCAUCUAUUCGACAUCCAUUUUGUGGAACACCUGAUGGAAAACUCGGAUGACCUGGAUUAUGGCCUACUCGCAAGUAUGAUGGAUGAGGAUGUGCUUGGAUACAAAUUACAAUGA
This 597-nucleotide ribosomal RNA is filed under the name Triticum aestivum (bread wheat). Its description in RNAcentral is "partial small subunit ribosomal RNA". Lineage: Eukaryota; Viridiplantae; Streptophyta; Magnoliopsida; Poales; Poaceae. The record is from RNAcentral.